CCUACGGAGGCAGCAGUCGGGAAUUUUGGGCAAUGGGCGAAAGCCUGACCCAGCAACGCCGCGUGAAGGAUGAAGUAUUUCGGUAUGUAAACUUCGAAAGAAUAGGAAGAAUAAAUGACGGUACUAUUUAUAAGCUCCGGCUAACUACGUGCCAGCAGCCGCGGUAAUA
RNAcentral lists this ribosomal RNA (169 nucleotides) under uncultured bacterium. Its description in RNAcentral is "partial 16S ribosomal RNA". It matches the Rfam family "Bacterial small subunit ribosomal RNA", at positions 338 to 525 of the family's 1533-position model. The record is from RNAcentral.